RNAcentral lists this transfer RNA (72 nucleotides) under Sphaerodactylus townsendi. Its description in RNAcentral is "tRNA-Ala". It matches the Rfam family "tRNA". From Rfam's summary of the family: Transfer RNA (tRNA) molecules are approximately 80 nucleotides in length. Lineage: Eukaryota; Metazoa; Chordata; Lepidosauria; Squamata; Sphaerodactylidae. The record is from RNAcentral.
GGGGCUAUGGCUCAGCAGCAGAGCAUCUGCUUGGCACACAGAAGGUUCCAGGUUCUAUCCCUGGCGUCUCCA